RNAcentral lists this ribosomal RNA (397 nucleotides) under uncultured bacterium. RNAcentral describes it as "partial 16S ribosomal RNA". It matches the Rfam family "Bacterial small subunit ribosomal RNA", at positions 523 to 918 of the family's 1533-position model. The record is from RNAcentral.
AUACGUAGGUGACAAGCGUUAUCCGGAUUUACUGGGCGUAAAGGGCGUGUAGGCGGUCUUGCAAGUCAGAAGUGAAAUUCCUGAGCUCAACUCGGGCGCUGCUUCUGAAACUGCAGGACUUGAGUGCUGGAGGGGAUAGCGGAAUUCCUAGUGGAGCGGUAAAAUGCGCAGAUAGUAGGAGGAACACCGGUGGCGAAGGCGGCUUUGUGGGCAGAACUUGACGCUGAGGGGUCAAAGCGUGGGGAGAAAACAGGGUUAGAUACCCUGGUAGCCCACGCCGUAAACGAUGAAUACUAGGUGUAUGGGGUAUCGACUCCCUCUGUGCCGCAGUUAACACAAUAAGUAUUCCGCCUGGGGAGUACGGCCGCAAGGUUGAAACUCAAAGGAAUUGACGGGG